Molecule: ribosomal RNA, 506 nt
Filed under: uncultured bacterium
Lineage: Bacteria
Description: partial 16S ribosomal RNA
Rfam family: Bacterial small subunit ribosomal RNA
Source: RNAcentral
AGUGAACGCUGGCGGUAGGCCUAACACAUGCAAGUCGAACGGCAGCACAGGAGAGCUUGCUCUCUGGGUGGCGAGUGGCGGACGGGUGAGGAAUACAUCGGAAUCUACUCUGUCGUGGGGGAUAACGUAGGGAAACUUACGCUAAUACCGCAUACGACCUACGGGUGAAAGCAGGGGACCUUCGGGCCUUGCGCGAUUGAAUGAGCCGAUGUCGGAUUAGCUAGUUGGCGGGGUAAAGGCCCACCAAGGCGACGAUCCGUAGCUGGUCUGAGAGGAUGAUCAGCCGAACUGGAACUGAGACACGGUCCAGACUCCUACGGGAGGCAGCAGUGGGGAAUAUUGGACAAUGGGCGCAAGCCUGAUCCAGCCAUACCGCGUGGGUGAAGAGGGCCUUCGGGUUGUAAAGCCCUUUUGUUGGGAAAGAAAUCCAGCUGGCUAAUACCCGGUUGGGAUGACGGUACCCAAAGAAUAAGCACCGGCUAACUUCGUGCCAGCCGCCGCCGUAA